This 787-nucleotide ribosomal RNA is filed under the name Enterococcus faecalis. RNAcentral describes it as "bacterial SSU rRNA". It matches the Rfam family "Bacterial small subunit ribosomal RNA", at positions 23 to 781 of the family's 1533-position model. Lineage: Bacteria; Bacillati; Bacillota; Bacilli; Lactobacillales; Enterococcaceae. The record is from RNAcentral.
CUCAGGACGAACGCUGGCGGCGUGCGUAAUACAUGCAAGUCGAACGCUUCUUUCCUCCCGAGUGCUUGCACUCAAUUGGAAAGAGGAGUGGCGGACGGGUGAGUAACACGUGGGUAACCUACCCAUCAGAGGGGGAUAACACUUGGAAACAGGUGCUAAUACCGCAUAACAGUUUAUGCCGCAUGGCAUAAGAGUGAAAGGCGCUUUCGGGUGUCGCUGAUGGAUGGACCCGCGGUGCAUUAGCUAGUUGGUGAGGUAACGGCUCACCAAGGCCACGAUGCAUAGCCGACCUGAGAGGGUGAUCGGCCACACUGGGACUGAGACACGGCCCAGACUCCUACGGGAGGCAGCAGUAGGGAAUCUUCGGCAAUGGACGAAAGUCUGACCGAGCAACGCCGCGUGAGUGAAGAAGGUUUUCGGAUCGUAAAACUCUGUUGUUAGAGAAGAACAAGGACGUUAGUAACUGAACGUCCCCUGACGGUAUCUAACCAGAAAGCCACGGCUAACUACGUGCCAGCAGCCGCGGUAAUACGUAGGUGGCAAGCGUUGUCCGGAUUUAUUGGGCGUAAAGCGAGCGCAGGCGGUUUCUUAAGUCUGAUGUGAAAGCCCCCGGCUCAACCGGGGAGGGUCAUUGGAAACUGGGAGACUUGAGUGCAGAAGAGGAGAGUGGAAUUCCAUGUGUAGCGGUGAAAUGCGUAGAUAUAUGGAGGAACACCAGUGGCGAAGGCGGCUCUCUGGUCUGUAACUGACGCUGAGGCUCGAAAGCGUGGGGAGCAAACAGGAUUAG